RNAcentral lists this ribosomal RNA (305 nucleotides) under uncultured bacterium. Its description in RNAcentral is "bacterial SSU rRNA". It matches the Rfam family "Bacterial small subunit ribosomal RNA", at positions 337 to 640 of the family's 1533-position model. The record is from RNAcentral.
UCCUACGGGGGGCAGCAGUGAGGAAUAUUGGUCAAUGGUCGGGAGACUGAACCAGCCAAGCCGCGUGAGGGAGGAAGGUACAGAGUAUCGUAAACCUCUUUUGUCAGGGAACAAAGGCGGGGACGUGUCCCCGGAUGAGUGUACCUGAAGAAAAAGCAUCGGCUAACUCCGUGCCAGCAGCCGCGGUAAUACGGAGGAUGCGAGCGUUAUCCGGAUUUAUUGGGUUUAAAGGGUGCGCAGGCGGUCUGUUAAGUCAGCAGUCCAAGCCCGGGGCUCAACCCCGGCCCGCCGUUGAAACUGGCAGG